Molecule: ribosomal RNA, 439 nt
Filed under: uncultured bacterium
Lineage: Bacteria
Description: partial 16S ribosomal RNA
Rfam family: Bacterial small subunit ribosomal RNA
Source: RNAcentral
CUACGGGCCGCUGCAGUGGGGAAUAUUGGACAAUGGGCGCAAGCCUGAUCCAGCAAUGCCGCGUGAGUGAAGACGGCCUUAGGGUUGUAAAACUCUUUCGCUAGGGAAGAUAAUGACUGUACCUAGUAAAGAAGUCCCGGCUAACUCCGUGCCAGCAGCCGCGGUAAUACGGAGGGGACUAGCGUUGUUCGGAAUUACUGGGCGUAAAGAGUUCGUAGGCGGACUGACAAGUUAGAGGUGAAAUCCCAGGGCUCAACCCUGGAACUGCCUUUAAAACUGUCAGUCUAGAGACCGGAAGAGGUUAGGGGAAUACCUAGUGUAGAGGUGAAAUUCGUAGAUAUUAGGUGGAACACCAGUGGCGAAGGCGCCUAACUGGUCCGGUACUGACGCUGAGGAACGAAUGCGUGGGGAGCAAACAGGAUUAGAUGCCCCUGUAGUC